Molecule: ribosomal RNA, 253 nt
Filed under: uncultured bacterium
Lineage: Bacteria
Description: partial 16S ribosomal RNA
Rfam family: Bacterial small subunit ribosomal RNA
Source: RNAcentral
UACGAAGGGGGCGAGCGUUGUUCGGAUUUACUGGGCGUAAAGGGCGCGCAGGCGGCUCAUUUUGUCAGGCGUGAAAGCCCCGGGCUUAACCUGGGAACUGCGUUUGAUAAGGAUGGGCUAGAGUUCGGGAGAGGAGAGUGGAAUUCCCAGUGUAGAGGUGAAAUUCGUAGAUAUUGGGAAGAACACCGGUGGCGAAGGCGGCUCGCUGGACCGAGACUGACGCUGAGGCGCGAAAGCGUGGGGAGCAAACAGG